UGAGGAAUAUUGGGCAAUGCCCGCAAGGGUGACCCAGCAACGCCGCGUGGAGGAUGAAUGUCGUAAGAUUGUAAACUCCUGUUAGAGGGGAAGAAUAGUACCGGUUGGACCGGUAUAUGACUGUACCCUCAGGGAAAGCCCCGGCUAACUACGUGCCAGCAGCCGCGGUAAUACGUAGGGGGCAAGCGUUGUCCGGAUUUACUGGGUGUAAAGGGCGCGCAGGCGGGAUAAAAAGUCAGUGGUGAAAUCCUACAGCUUAACUGUAGAACUGCCUUUGAUACUUUUAUUCUUGAGUUCGGGAGAGAGAGACGGAAUUCCAGGUGUAGUGGUGAAAUACGUAGAUAUCUGGAAGAACACCAGUUGCGAAGGCGGUCUCUUGGUCCGACACUGACGCUGAGGCGCGAAAGCGUGGGGAGCAAAC
RNAcentral lists this ribosomal RNA (421 nucleotides) under uncultured bacterium. Its description in RNAcentral is "bacterial SSU rRNA". It matches the Rfam family "Bacterial small subunit ribosomal RNA", at positions 355 to 773 of the family's 1533-position model. The record is from RNAcentral.